This 87-nucleotide transfer RNA is filed under the name Amborella trichopoda. RNAcentral's name for it is "tRNA AMTR_s00253t00274460". Lineage: Eukaryota; Viridiplantae; Streptophyta; Magnoliopsida; Amborellales; Amborellaceae. The record is from RNAcentral.
CUACAAGUAGUACAAGAAGUACAAGUACUACUACAAGUAGUACUAGUAGUAAGAGUAUUACUAGUAGUACAUACUACUAUUAGUAGU